RNAcentral lists this ribosomal RNA (420 nucleotides) under uncultured Lysobacteraceae bacterium. RNAcentral's name for it is "bacterial SSU rRNA". It matches the Rfam family "Bacterial small subunit ribosomal RNA", at positions 380 to 789 of the family's 1533-position model. Lineage: Bacteria; Pseudomonadati; Pseudomonadota; Gammaproteobacteria; Lysobacterales; Lysobacteraceae. The record is from RNAcentral.
AGCCUGAUCCAGCCAUGCCGCGUGUGUGAAGAAGGCCUUCGGGUUGUAAAGCACUUUUGUUGGGGAAGAAAAGCAUCCGGUUAAUACCCGGGUGUCAUGACGGUACCCAAAGAAUAAGCACCGGCUAACUUCGUGCCAGUCAGCCGCGGUAAUACGAAGGGUGCAAGCGUUACUCGGAAUUACUGGGCGUAAAGCGUGCGUAGGUGGUCUGUUAAGUCUGAUGUGAAAGCCCCCGACUCAACCUGGGAAUUGCAUCUGAUACUGGUGGGCUUGAGUGCGGGGAGGGGAUGUGAAAUUUCCGGGUGUACAAUGAAAUGCGUUUAGAUAUCUGGCAACAUCCCGAGGGGAAGGCGACACCCUGGACCAGCACUGACACUGAAGGCACGAAAGCGUGGGGAGCAAACAGGAUUAGAUACCCUG